Molecule: long non-coding RNA, 330 nt
Organism: Brachypodium distachyon (stiff brome)
Lineage: Eukaryota; Viridiplantae; Streptophyta; Magnoliopsida; Poales; Poaceae
Exons: 3
Source: RefSeq, a predicted model, not a curated record
AUUUUUUUGUGAUUGAAUGUAUCCAAUCGGAGCCAAGUGUCAAAAAAAAAAUUAGUGUCCCUCGGUGACACAUCACUGACCAAGGACGAUUUAAUACGUCUUCUAAACCCCCGGGAAUAUGCUGGCGACGAAGUCGUAAAUGCAUACAUCUAUUGCAUAAGUGGCGAAGAAGCUCUGCAGGUCAGGUUAGGUGGAAGUAUGUUCUUCGAGACUUCAUUGGUCUCUAAGCUGAUACAGGAUUGUGCAAAUAAGCCCAAAGAUGAAAUACCAGAAUGGAUUGUAGAGAGGGUGAAAAAGUAUCUGGAACAUGACAUGCUGGUAGCAGUGGAU